Molecule: long non-coding RNA, 519 nt
Organism: Fundulus heteroclitus (mummichog)
Lineage: Eukaryota; Metazoa; Chordata; Actinopteri; Cyprinodontiformes; Fundulidae
Exons: 4
Source: RefSeq, a predicted model, not a curated record
UCUAUUUAUACCGGAAGUGGAUUCCGACACCACGCUUAGCCGGAAGUUAACAGGCGCCAUCUUGUUGGAAGGACGUUGUUUUUAUCCUUGGAGAGGAGAUGGUAUCUUUCGGACGACAUACAGCAUGUUGCCUUUUGCAAUUGUUGAUUUUGAAAAUGGUGGAGGAUUGGCAGUGAUUCCGACCAAAUGGUUUAUCGGGCCUUAGGAGGAUGAAUGCUACUGGCCACCAGCAAGAGUUAACAUAGCAAAGGUGGUCAUAGAGCAACAGGACCCCCACCCUGACUGGGUAACCUACAAGUUGACUGUCAAGAGAAAAGCAGACAGCAACAUACGAGAUAGCCCGUAUAAAACUGGUUGAGUUUGAACAGAACACAGAUGUCCCGACAGAGUCUGAUUCUGCGGAGAACAUGGGAAGGGGAAGCGCAAAAAGAGGUCUAGGAGAGUGAUUCUGUCCAGCGAGGAAGAAGAUGAUAGCCCUACACCUCCACUACCUCCAUCCACCCACAGGUAUGUACUGAC